Small nucleolar RNA from Tachyglossus aculeatus (Australian echidna), 137 nucleotides. Lineage: Eukaryota; Metazoa; Chordata; Mammalia; Monotremata; Tachyglossidae. The record is from RefSeq and is a predicted model, not a curated record.
CUCCUCUCAGAAUCAUAUCUGGAGAGUUUCCAGCACUCUACCAGUCUUGGCUAUGGGAGGGAGAGUCAAGCAGAGGCAAACUCAUCCAUUCCUAGCUUGGGCAGUGGCUAGCGAGCAGAAGGCAAUCUGCUACAAGU